CCAAAUCCUAAGGGGUGGCAACCCAUUGCCUGAGAUGCGCCGUGCGCGAACCCUUUGAACCUGAUCCGGUUGAUACCGGCGUAGGAAUAGGAAGCUCACAACGC
RNAcentral lists this non-coding RNA (104 nucleotides) under Oceanimonas sp. GK1. RNAcentral's name for it is "TPP riboswitch aptamer (THI element)". It matches the Rfam family "TPP riboswitch aptamer (THI element)". Rfam says of the family: Vitamin B(1) in its active form thiamin pyrophosphate (TPP) is an essential coenzyme that is synthesised by coupling of pyrimidine and thiazole moieties in bacteria. The previously detected thiamin-regulatory element, thi box was extended, resulting in a new, highly conserved RNA secondary structure, the THI element, which is widely distributed in eubacteria and also occurs in some archaea. Analysis of operon structures identified a large number of new candidate thiamin-regulated genes, mostly transporters, in various prokaryotic organisms. RNAcentral also lists the same sequence under 1 other name. Lineage: Bacteria; Pseudomonadati; Pseudomonadota; Gammaproteobacteria; Aeromonadales; Aeromonadaceae. The record is from Rfam by way of RNAcentral.